CAGGAAGUAGUUUAAUUAGAACGUCAGCUUUGGGUGCUGAUAGUGAGGAGGAGUAUCCUUCUCUUGA
RNAcentral lists this transfer RNA (67 nucleotides) under Rhabdomys chakae. RNAcentral's name for it is "tRNA-Pro". The record is from RNAcentral. Lineage: Eukaryota; Metazoa; Chordata; Mammalia; Rodentia; Muridae.